AAUGCGCGAGAGCGUGACGCAGCGACGCCGCGUGGGGGAUCGAAGGCCCUCGGGUUGUAAACCCCUUUCGCCAGGGACGAAGCGAGAGUGACGGUACCGUGGAGAAGAAGUCCCGGCUAACUACGUGCCAGCAGCCGCGGUAACACGUAGGGGACGAGCGUUGUCCGGAUUCAUUGGGCGUAAAGCGCGCGUAGGCGGUCGUGCAAGUCGGUUGUGAAAUCCCGGGGCUCAACCCCGGGACUGCGUCCGAUACUGUGCGACUGGAGGCAGGUAGGGGAGAUCGGAAUUCCUGGUGUAGCGGUGAAAUGCGCAGAUAUCAGGAGGAACACCGGUGGCGAAGGCGGAUCUCUGGGCCUUGCCUGACGCUGAGGCGCGAAAGCUAGGGGAGCGAACAGGAUUAGAUACCCUGGUAGUCCUAGCCGUAAACGUUGGGUGCUAGGUGUGGGCGGACAUCGACCCCGUCCGUGCCGAAGCUAACGCAUUAAGCACCCCGCCUGGGGAGUACGGCCGCAAGGCUA
RNAcentral lists this ribosomal RNA (518 nucleotides) under uncultured Actinomycetes bacterium. Its description in RNAcentral is "bacterial SSU rRNA". It matches the Rfam family "Bacterial small subunit ribosomal RNA", at positions 370 to 896 of the family's 1533-position model. Lineage: Bacteria; Bacillati; Actinomycetota; Actinomycetes. The record is from RNAcentral.